This 259-nucleotide ribosomal RNA is filed under the name uncultured bacterium. RNAcentral describes it as "partial 16S ribosomal RNA". It matches the Rfam family "Bacterial small subunit ribosomal RNA", at positions 95 to 354 of the family's 1533-position model. The record is from RNAcentral.
CCGGCGCACGGGUGAGUAACACGUAUCCAACCUGCCGUCUACUCUUGGACAGCCUUCUGAAAGGAAGAUUAAUACAAGAUGGCAUCAUGAGUCCGCAUGUUCACAUGAUUAAAGGUAUUCCGGUAGACGGUGGGGAUGCGUUCCAUUAGAUAGUAGGCGGGGUAACGGCCCACCUAGUCUUCGAUGGAUAGGGGUUCUGAGAGGAAGGUCCCCCACAUUGGAACUGAGACACGGUCCAAACUCCUACGGAAGGCAGCAG